CCCUAGAUAAACAGUGCUUUAUAUUGGUUUUAGAUUAAUAAUCCAUACACAGCACUAGUUUUCUUACUUCAUUUUUCACAUCUCUUUCUCAGGAGUCGAAGAGUUACUGAGAGUUCAGUUCAUCUGUCUUCUCUCAAAUAAAGAGAGACUCCCUGCAAAUAUGUCUAAUCUUCCUUAGCUCUUUCAUAACCAUCACUUUUCCCUCUCUCUGUGGGACAUGAUACGUUUGCUCCGUCAGCUUGAGGUUUAUCGCUGUGUUUAAAGGGGUUCUGUGUUCUGUCAUAGAGGCAGGAGGCCAUAAACACAUAUGAGCAUCUCCCUCACUGUCAAGGCUUUCUGAGUUGUAAUUGGCUGAGAGCUGCACUGUCAGCUGAUUGGCCGGGCUGAGGAUGAAUGGCCACGCUGACAACCAAUGGGGCCAGAUUAGGGUGAGCCGGGUGAGAUAUGGGACGCCGCAUUCUUGAGCAUAAUCAAAUCUUAGGAGCUUUCACUGAUGGUGUGUGAAUCAGUUUGUAUCAAGAGUUCAUAUGCAAGAGGAACCAAGACACACCUCAAAAGAUUCAAACAAGUUUUCUAGCAAGCUAAUAAAGUUUAUAUUGAAGAGGUUUUGGGAUGAAAGGUCACCAGCUGCCCUCUGCUCAGCUUCCCCUCACCACUCCAUCUAGCGCUCCAACAGAAGUGCUGAAAAUAACCUGUGAUGGAUGCAAAUCUGAAGAUUUCCCUCAUUCCCUCCUCCUUUACUCUACCUUUCUCUGCUCAUCAGAUCAUCUCUCGUCAUCCCUAUUAGUCCAGAUGAAGAUGGAUAUGGACAGUCAGUUAUUUAUGGAUUAGGGGUGGAGCUUUGAACCACUCUUGCCAUUCUUUAGUGUCCCUAAAAGCUCUUGGGCAUGUUUCACAUUACCAUCAUUAUCUUCUUUUUCUUUUCUUUUUUUCUGUUUUUACGGCUCCUUGAACGUUUUCUUUUUUGAUGUAUUUAUUAUAUAU
Long non-coding RNA from Carassius carassius (crucian carp), 984 nucleotides. RefSeq lists it as uncharacterized. NCBI's taxonomy places the organism in Eukaryota, Metazoa, Chordata, Actinopteri, Cypriniformes, Cyprinidae. The transcript is spliced from 3 exons. The record is from RefSeq and is a predicted model, not a curated record.